This 1382-nucleotide ribosomal RNA is filed under the name uncultured bacterium. RNAcentral's name for it is "bacterial SSU rRNA". It matches the Rfam family "Bacterial small subunit ribosomal RNA", at positions 18 to 1395 of the family's 1533-position model. The record is from RNAcentral.
CCUGGCUCAAGAUGAACGCUAGCUACAGGCUUAACACAUGCAAGUCGAGGGGCAGCAUGGUCUUAGCUUGCUAAGGCCGAUGGCGACCGGCGCACGGGUGAGUAACACGUAUCCAACCUGCCGUCUACUCUUGGACAGCCUUCUGAAAGGAAGAUUAAUACAAGAUGGCAUCAUGAGUCCGCAUGUUCACAUGAUUAAAGGUAUUCCGGUAGACGAUGGGGAUGCGUUCCAUUAGAUAGUAGGCGGGGUAACGGCCCACCUAGUCUUCGAUGGAUAGGGGUUCUGAGAGGAAGGUCCCCCACAUUGGAACUGAGACACGGUCCAAACUCCUACGGGAGGCAGCAGUGAGGAAUAUUGGUCAAUGGGCGAGAGCCUGAACCAGCCAAGUAGCGUGAAGGAUGACUGCCCUAUGGGUUGUAAACUUCUUUUAUAAAGGAAUAAAGUCGGGUAUGGAUACCCGUUUGCAUGUACUUUAUGAAUAAGGAUCGGCUAACUCCGUGCCAGCAGCCGCGGUAAUACGGAGGAUCCGAGCGUUAUCCGGAUUUAUUGGGUUUAAAGGGAGCGUAGAUGGAUGUUUAAGUCAGUUGUGAAAGUUUGCGGCUCAACCGUAAAAUUGCAGUUGAUACUGGAUAUCUUGAGUGCAGUUGAGGCAGGCGGAAUUCGUGGUGUAGCGGUGAAAUGCUUAGAUAUCACGAAGAACUCCGAUUGCGAAGGCAGCCUGCUAAGCUGCAACUGACAUUGAGGCUCGAAAGUGUGGGUAUCAAACAGGAUUAGAUACCCUGGUAGUCCACACGGUAAACGAUGAAUACUCGCUGUUUGCGAUAUACAGCAAGCGGCCAAGCGAAAGCGUUAAGUAUUCCACCUGGGGAGUACGCCGGCAACGGUGAAACUCAAAGGAAUUGACGGGGGCCCGCACAAGCGGAGGAACAUGUGGUUUAAUUCGAUGAUACGCGAGGAACCUUACCCGGGCUUAAAUUGCAGAUGAAUUACGGUGAAAGCCGUAAGCCGCAAGGCAUCUGUGAAGGUGCUGCAUGGUAGUCGUCAGCUCGUGCCAUGAGGUGUCGGCUUAAGUGCCAUAACGAGCGCAACCCUUGUUGUCAGUUACUAACAGGUUCCGCUGAGGACUCUGACAAGACUGCCAUCGUAAGAUGUGAGGAAGGUGGGGAUGACGUCAAAUCAGCACGGCCCUUACGUCCGGGGCUACACACGUGUUACAAUGGGGGGUACAGAGGGCCGCUACCACGCGAGUGGAUGCCAAUCCCAAAAACCUCUCUCAGUUCGGACUGGAGUCUGCAACCCGACUCCACGAAGCUGGAUUCGCUAGUAAUCGCGCAUCAGCCACGGCGCGGUGAAUACGUUCACGGGCCUUGUACACACCGCCC